Molecule: ribosomal RNA, 253 nt
Filed under: uncultured bacterium
Lineage: Bacteria
Description: partial 16S ribosomal RNA
Rfam family: Bacterial small subunit ribosomal RNA
Source: RNAcentral
GACGUAGGAGGCGAGCGUUGUCCGGAUUCACUGGGCGUAAAGAGCGCGCAGGCGGCUUGGUAAGUCGGAUGUGAAAUCCCGAGGCUCAACCUCGGGUCUGCAUCCGAUACUGCCCGGCUAGAGGUAGGUAGGGGAGAUCGGAAUUCCUGGUGUAGCGGUGAAAUGCGCAGAUAUCAGGAGGAACACCGGUGGCGAAGGCGGAUCUCUGGGACGGUACUGACGCUGAGACGCGAAAGCGUGGGGAGCGAACAGG